GACGAACGCUGGCGGCGUGCUUAACACAUGCGAGUCGAACGGAAAGGCCCUGCUUGCAGGGUACUCGAGUGGCGAACGGGUGAGUAACACGUGGGUGAUCUGCCCUUCACUUCGGGAUAAGCUUGGGAAACUGGGUCUAAUACCGGAUAGGAGCCAUCUUUAGUGUGGUGGUUGGAAAGUUUUUUCGGUGUAGGAUGAGCUCGCGGCCUAUCAGCUUGUUGGUGGGGUAAUGGCCUACCAAGGCGGCGACGGGUAGCCGGCCUGAGAGGGUGUACGGCCACAUUGGGACUGAGAUACGGCCCAGACUCCUACGGGAGGCAGCAGUGGGGAAUAUUGCACAAUGGGCGCAAGCCUGAUGCAGCGACGCCGCGUGGGGGAUGAAGGCCUUCGGGUUGUAAACUCCUUUCGCUAGGGACGAAGCUUUUUUGUGACGGUACCUAGAUAAGAAGCACCGGCUAACUACGUG
This 466-nucleotide ribosomal RNA is filed under the name uncultured bacterium. RNAcentral's name for it is "partial 16S ribosomal RNA". It matches the Rfam family "Bacterial small subunit ribosomal RNA", at positions 28 to 507 of the family's 1533-position model. The record is from RNAcentral.